UACGUAGGUGGCAAGCGUUGUCCGGAUUUACUGGGUGUAAAGGGCGUGUAGCCGGGCUGACAAGUCAGAUGUGAAAUCCGGGGGCUCAACCCCCGAACUGCAUUUGAAACUGUUGGUCUUGAGUAUCGGAGAGGCAGGCGGAAUUCCUAGUGUAGCGGUGAAAUGCGUAGAUAUUAGGAGGAACACCAGUGGCGAAGGCGGCUUACUGGACUGUAAAUGACGCUGAGGCUCGAAAGCGUGGGGAGCAAACAGG
RNAcentral lists this ribosomal RNA (253 nucleotides) under uncultured bacterium. Its description in RNAcentral is "partial 16S ribosomal RNA". It matches the Rfam family "Bacterial small subunit ribosomal RNA", at positions 524 to 776 of the family's 1533-position model. The record is from RNAcentral.